Long non-coding RNA from Myotis lucifugus (little brown bat), 322 nucleotides. RefSeq lists it as uncharacterized. NCBI's taxonomy places the organism in Eukaryota, Metazoa, Chordata, Mammalia, Chiroptera, Vespertilionidae. The record is from RefSeq and is a predicted model, not a curated record. The transcript has 2 exons.
UAUCUACUGGUAUCGACAAGGAGACUUAGAACCGAAAUUUAGAAAUCUAAUUUACUAUAUCUUAUUUUCUAUCACCAUGUUAUGUAUAUGUGCGAACCUGUACUUCCAUGAUGUGGGAAAGUGAGGCUGCCAAGGAGAAAAUACUUACCAGGUCUCUUCAAAGCUAUACAUUAGGACUGUGAAUAAAAGCUGGAUAAGGCAACCAACUCUUGCUUAAAACUACAAUUUGUUUUCACAUUAACAAAACAGAGACGGUGAAAAGACAAUUUGAUUGUGAAGAUCUAAUUACAAUAAUAAAUAAAAUAAUUUAUACAAAAAAAAA